RNAcentral lists this ribosomal RNA (372 nucleotides) under uncultured organism. RNAcentral describes it as "bacterial SSU rRNA". It matches the Rfam family "Bacterial small subunit ribosomal RNA", at positions 526 to 896 of the family's 1533-position model. The record is from RNAcentral.
CGAAGGGGGCUAGCGUUGUUCGGAAUUAUUGGGCGUAAAGGGCGCGUAGGCGGUCCCUUAAGUCAGAUGUGAAAUCCCGAGGCUUAACCUCGGGCGUGCAUUUGAAACUGGGGGACUAGAGUGCAGGAGAGGUAAGUGGAAUUCCUAGUGUAGCGGUGAAAUGCGUAGAUAUUAGGAGGAACACCAGUGGCGAAGGCGACUUACUGGACUGUAACUGACGCUGAGGCGCGAAAGCGUGGGGAGCAAACAGGAUUAGAUACCCUGGUAGUCCACGCUGUAAACGAUGGAUACUAGGUGUGGGAGGUAUCGACCCCUUCCGUGCCGCAGUAAACGCAAUAAGUAUCCCGCCUGGGGAGUACGGCCGCAAGGUUG